CUUCGGUUAAUUUUAGUGGCGGACGGGUGAGUAAUGCGUGGGGACCUGCCCUUCAGCUGGGGAUAACCUUGGGAAACCAAGGCUAAUACCGAAUACGCUCGAGAGAGGAAAGAUUUAUCACUGAAGGAGGGGCCCACGUCGGAUUAGGUAGUUGGUAGGGUAAAGGCCUACCAAGCCAAUGAUCUGUAGCUGGUCUGAGAGGAUGGCCAGCCACACUGGGACUGAGACACGGCCCAG
This 237-nucleotide ribosomal RNA is filed under the name uncultured bacterium. RNAcentral describes it as "partial 16S ribosomal RNA". It matches the Rfam family "Bacterial small subunit ribosomal RNA", at positions 80 to 334 of the family's 1533-position model. The record is from RNAcentral.